RNAcentral lists this ribosomal RNA (254 nucleotides) under uncultured bacterium. RNAcentral describes it as "partial 16S ribosomal RNA". It matches the Rfam family "Bacterial small subunit ribosomal RNA", at positions 524 to 776 of the family's 1533-position model. The record is from RNAcentral.
UACGUAGGGAGCAAGCGUUGUCCGGAAUUAUUGGGCGUAAAGAGCUCGUAGGCGGUGUGUCGCGUCGGUCGUGAAAACUUGGGGCUUAACUCUGAGCUUGCGGUCGAUACGGGCAUCACUGGAGUUCGGCAGGGGAGACUGGAAUUCCUGGUGUAGCGGUGAAAUGCGCAGAUAUCAGGAGGAACACCGGUGGCGAAGGCGGGUCUCUGGGCCGAUACUGACGCUGAGGAGCGAAAGCGUGGGGAGCGAACAGG